Molecule: long non-coding RNA, 1867 nt
Filed under: Paramuricea clavata
Lineage: Eukaryota; Metazoa; Cnidaria; Anthozoa; Malacalcyonacea; Plexauridae
Source: RNAcentral
CGAGGUGAGUUCGGGAAACUUCCAACCACCCGAGGUGCGUCCAAUCCCGGACUCACCGAACCUGCAAGUAUGUUCGGUUUUUAUCACAUGCCAUUUCGGUAAAAUACUAAAAAGUACUGAAGAAUUUUAUACGCAUUUAAUUUAUAGUAUAUAAUUUCGUGUUUGGAUAACGAACAUUUUAGCCGCCAACAUAGUACGCAAACAAACAAACUUAGGCUUAAAUUAAAGCUAAAAAAAUUCUCUACAAUAUUCCCUUAUUCUUGAAAAGAGAAAAUGAACACAUUCUGCGAAAACACUGCCAAGAUUUAUAUAAACUUGCCCGUGCCGAACAAAUUUCGGCGGCCAUCUUUCUUCUCUUCCACUUUGAAUACAGAAUAUUCCAUUUUUAUCAAACAAAAUAAAAAAAUAAUAAUUAUAAAACAAUUAAAAACAGUUAAUUUACUUUUUUAUUUAAAUCUUCGUAUGAAAUUUGUUCAAAUCGCUUCAUAAUGACCGCCGCUGAAACAUCGAUCUCGAACCCACCCCCUAAACAUACGUCAGCAUGUGGGUUCGAGAUUGAACGCACCUCCUCGUAGCCAAUAGGAAAGCCGCUAAUACGCUAGGUAUGAGAUAAAUAUUGUAAUACACCACCAUGCAAUACAUUGUAAUGGUACAGAAUUUACAAUUUCAGAUUCUAUCGUCAUGAUUCGUACACAAUAGUCAAUAGAGUUGGGGAUCGGGGUCAAGAUCAAAGAGAAAUUUAGGCUACGUUUAUAUUGUACCAGAUUUCCGUAGCGACGUGAAAAAACACCUAUCCGUACAUUUUCGGGACGCUAUUUUCAGAGAAAUUAUUGCAACGGAGAGAUGUUAUUUCACCCAACUUCUGAAAGUUGUACAUUUCGUAUCGGACACAGGAGCUUUUUCGCGCCGCUGCGGAAAGCUAUCCGGUACUAAUGCGUAGCAUUAUUCGUGCUCGAAACAUGACGAUAUAUGGCCCAGUUGCGAGAAAAGCAUGCCAGAUUAACAAUAGUUUAUUCGAUUGAAAUCGCUUUCCCAUCCUACAGCUGUUCCUCGUUAUUCUAAAUUUCCUUUUUCAAUAUUCUUUAAGUGCGUAAAAACAAGGGAAAUCUGACCGUACAUUACGAAGUCGUCUUCAAUAUUAUGAAAAUUGAACAACACUUCACAAUCAAAUAUGGCAGAUUAGCAUGUAUGUUUCCGUAUGCGGGGAAAAUUGAAAAUUUUCCUCAUAGUCCUGGUUCAUCAAGAUCCCACUUUUUCACAGAUUUGCAUAUGCGGAUAGUGAAUUUCAGGAAUUGAACGUGCUUGCAACUCGAGGUGCUGUGGUCGUUAUUAGAUCAAUGUCUUUCGAACGCGAAUUCCUUGCCCACUCGGGAUUUUGUUCUUAGGUUCGCAUUUUAUAUAUUCAUCAAUCCAUAACACUGAUGAUUACACGAAGAAUCAUGCCUAGGGUCUUGUAAGAGUUCUGUCAACGCCAUGAUAUAAUGCUGUGCCAAACGUAGUGUCUCAAUUUGUGUUAGUUUUCUUUCUGGCCCUUUACCUGUCAAAUAGUCAGGAAUAACACCACGAAGUACAUCAAAUGCAUUAUUAAGACGUGAUUGUCUCUCUCGUUCUCUCGCAUUUCGUCGAAGUUGACGAUUCCUUUUCACAGUGGCUGGAAUAACCCUUCUUUCACGCUUGCGUUCUUUAGACACAUUCUUGGUGGCAUUUGUAUUCUUCACGGAACAUUGAUUCUCAGAUAGGUCUUGUGCAGGCAGGCUUGACGAGAUAUACGGUAUAUUAUCAAAGUCUAUCCUGCCAGGAAAAUUAGCGUAGAAAGGGAUUUGAAAUCCGUCUUGGUUUUGCGCGCAUGUCGAAGAAAUAUUGGUGA